AACGCGGUGUCUAACUCGCUAUUAGUGAUAAGCUGCUGUGUAGCUUAGCUUAGCUUAUAGCUAAUGUUAAAGGUUUGAAAGAUAGCACUGUUAGGCUGUUAUAUCGAAUUAGUACACCCGAUUGUUUUGUUAAAUAUAUGUAUUGGUGUGUAUGUAUAUGUUAAUGAAAAAAGGUAGUGUCAGAAAAUCUGUUUUUUAAAUGUAGCGUGAAAGUUAACCAUUUAUUGACUGUUUAGAGGUUGUAAGGCUUUUACCUAACUGUAUUUAGUAUUAAUGAUGCUGCAUUCUUUCCUCAGAAGCUAAAGUUUUUCAAAGACAUUUGUAGGGAGGACUUUGCAGCUAAUGGAGCUGAAGUAUUUUAUGUAAGGAGGAUUUUGCAGCCCAUAUAGAUUUCCUUAGGCUGAACCAAAACCUGCCAGACUAAAGUUGAUUUGGGAGAGAAAGACGUUGUAAACUCACUCAUCUUGACAUUCUUCAAUGAGUAAUUGUUCAAUUUUUAGGCAAAUACUGUACACUUUGAAUGGUGUGAAUAAAACUAUAUUUUAAAUAUAUUUAAAAUGAA
Non-coding RNA from Paramisgurnus dabryanus, 562 nucleotides. NCBI's taxonomy places the organism in Eukaryota, Metazoa, Chordata, Actinopteri, Cypriniformes, Cobitidae. The record is from RefSeq and is a predicted model, not a curated record.